Molecule: ribosomal RNA, 116 nt
Filed under: Actinobacillus pleuropneumoniae
Lineage: Bacteria; Pseudomonadati; Pseudomonadota; Gammaproteobacteria; Pasteurellales; Pasteurellaceae
Source: RNAcentral
UGGUGGCGAUGGCGGAAGGGUUCCACGCGUUUCCAUACCGAACACGACCGUUAAGCCUUCCAGCGCCGAUGGUACUUGGACCGAAGGGUCCCGGGAGAGUAGGACGUCGCCAAGCG